This 830-nucleotide long non-coding RNA is filed under the name Homo sapiens (human). Its description in RNAcentral is "HSALNT0063385". Lineage: Eukaryota; Metazoa; Chordata; Mammalia; Primates; Hominidae. The record is from RNAcentral.
CGGAAGUCUAAGAUCAACAUGCCAAAAGGGUUGGUUUCUGACUCAUAUUUAGACUCAAAUCCCAGCAUACUGCAAAAGGACGACUGCAAAGCCUAAACUGACAGGAUGCCCCUUGUACAAUGAAGAAUGGUAUAAUGCUCUUGGCUAUAUUGGCACAAACCUGAUGAAUAUGGGUGAGAAUAAUUUAUAAGACUGUUAUGGCCAAGUGCAGUGGCUCAUGCCUGUAAUUCUAGCACUUUGGGAGGCCAAGACAGGUGGAUCACCUGAUGUCAGGAGUUCAAGACCAGCCUGGCCAACAUGGCAAAACACCGUCUCUACUAAAAAUACAAAAAAUAGCCGGACUUGGUGACACACUCCUGUAAUCCCAGCUACUCGGGAGGCUGAGGAAGGAGAAUAGCUUGAACUUGGGAGGCAGAUGUUGCAGUAAGCCGAGAUCGCUCCACUGCACUCCAGUCUGUGUGACGGGAGCAAGCUUCCAUCUUCAAAAAAAAAAAAAAAAGGUGUUAUAUCAGGGAUGAAAAAAAUUAUUGUUGGAUAUGGCUGAUAUUACUGAUAUUAAUACAAUUAGCAAAAAUGCCGAACAAUAAAUUUGAGCCAUUAACAAUAUCAAAUCUGUUAUCUUGAGCAUAUGAAAUUGACUAUAACAUGGUACUCAUUUGUUUGAAUGAACCUUGGGGUCCAAAGUGACCUACAUCAAAUGAAGCUGAGAUUUCAUCAUGUCCCUGUUAUACUCUAACGGAUUGAAUCUAAAGGCUUUAAAUGAUAAGAGUGUAAGAAUAAAUUUGUCAUAUAUGUCCUGCUUCGUGUCUCUUAACAAUGUCUCCUGGGAC